UAUGGCCACAUCAUGUUUAAACAUUGGUUCCUAUACAAUCACUGAAGUUAAGCAUAAUUGUACCUGGUCAGUACCUAGGUGGGUGACUGCUUGGGAAUACCUGGUGCUGUAAG
Non-coding RNA from Acanthosepion pharaonis, 113 nucleotides. The record is from the annotation of a GenBank genome assembly. Lineage: Eukaryota; Metazoa; Mollusca; Cephalopoda; Sepiida; Sepiidae.